RNAcentral lists this transfer RNA (67 nucleotides) under Tremoctopus violaceus. RNAcentral's name for it is "tRNA-Trp". The record is from RNAcentral. Lineage: Eukaryota; Metazoa; Mollusca; Cephalopoda; Octopoda; Tremoctopodidae.
AGAGUUUUAAGUUAAUUUUAAACUGCGAAUUUUCAAGAUUCGUAAUAAAUAAGGUGUUUAAAUUCUG